RNAcentral lists this ribosomal RNA (334 nucleotides) under uncultured eukaryote. RNAcentral's name for it is "partial 18S ribosomal RNA". It matches the Rfam family "Eukaryotic small subunit ribosomal RNA", at positions 1470 to 1796 of the family's 1831-position model. The record is from RNAcentral.
CCCUUAGAUGUCCUGGGCCGCACGCGCGCUACACUGAUGCAUGCAACGAGUUUAUAACCUUGGCCUGAAAGGUCUGGGUAAUCUUUUGAACGUGCAUCGUGAUAGGGAUAGAUUAUUGCAAUUGUUAAUCUUGAACGAGGAAUUCCUAGUAAACGCGAGUCAUCAGCUCGCGUUGAUUACGUCCCUGCCCUUUGUACACACCGCCCGUCGCUACUACCGAUUGAACGGUUUAGUGAGGGCCUCGGAUUGGUCUCGGCCCGCUCUUUACCGGGCGGCGCCGUUGGUCGAGAAGACGCUCGAACUUGAUCGUUUAGAGGAAGUAAAAGUCGUAACA